This 253-nucleotide ribosomal RNA is filed under the name uncultured bacterium. Its description in RNAcentral is "partial 16S ribosomal RNA". It matches the Rfam family "Bacterial small subunit ribosomal RNA", at positions 524 to 776 of the family's 1533-position model. The record is from RNAcentral.
GACGAACCGUGCGAACGUUGUUCGGAAUCACUGGGCUUAAAGGGCGCGUAGGCGGGCAUUCAAGUCAAGGGUGAAAUCCCCCAGCUUAACUGGGGAACUGCCUUUGAUACUGGGUGCCUCGAGUAAGGUAGGGGCAUGCGGAACUGAUGGUGGAGCGGUGAAAUGUGUUGAUAUCAUCAGGAACUCCGGUGGCGAAGGCGGCAUGCUGGACCUUCACUGACGCUGAGGAGCGAAAGUGUGGGGAGCGAACAGG